GAUGAACGCUAGCUACAGGCUUAACACAUGCAAGUCGAGGGGCAGCGCAGUGUAGCAAUACAUGGGCGGCGACCGGCGCACGGGUGCGUAACGCGUAUCCAACCUUCCCGUUACUCUUGGAUAGCCUUCCGAAAGGGAGAUUAAUACAAGAUGGUAUUCAAAUUUCGCAUGUUAUUUGAAUUAAAGAUUUAUCGGUAACGGAUGGGGAUGCGUGACAUUAGGUAGAUGGCGGGGUAACGGCCCACCAUGCCUACGAUGUCUAGGGGUUCUGAGAGGAAGGUCCCCCACACUGGAACUGAGACACGGUCCAGACUCCUACGGGAGGCAGCAGUGAGGAAUAUUGGUCAAUGGACGCAAGUCUGAACCAGCCAUGCCGCGUGCAGGAAGACGGCUCUAUGAGUUGUAAACUGCUUUUGACAAGGGUAACCCUGGGACGUGUCCCAGGCUGAAAGUACUGUACGAAUAAGGAUCGGCUAACUCCGUGCCAGCAGCCG
RNAcentral lists this ribosomal RNA (494 nucleotides) under uncultured bacterium. RNAcentral's name for it is "bacterial SSU rRNA". It matches the Rfam family "Bacterial small subunit ribosomal RNA", at positions 28 to 517 of the family's 1533-position model. The record is from RNAcentral.